RNAcentral lists this transfer RNA (87 nucleotides) under Biomphalaria glabrata. It matches the Rfam family "tRNA". From Rfam's summary of the family: Transfer RNA (tRNA) molecules are approximately 80 nucleotides in length. Their secondary structure includes four short double-helical elements and three loops (D, anti-codon, and T loops). Lineage: Eukaryota; Metazoa; Mollusca; Gastropoda; Planorbidae. The record is from Rfam by way of RNAcentral.
CCCGUGAUAGCUCAGUUGGUAGAGCGGAGGACUGUAGAUGUCAUCUUAGUAAUCCUUAGGUCGCUGGUUCGAAUCCGGCUCGCGGGA